UACGUAGGUGGCAAGCGUUGUCCGGAAUUAUUGGGCGUAAAGCGCGCGCAGGCGGUCCUUUAAGUCUGAUGUGAAAGCCCACGGCUCAACCGGGGAGGGUCAUUGGAAACUGGGAAACUUGAGUGCAGAAGAGGAAAGUGGAAUUCCAAGUGUAGCGGUGAAAUGCGUAGAGAUUUGGAGGAACACCAGUGGCGAAGGCGACUUUCUGGUCUGUAACUGACGCUGAGGCGCGAAAGCGUGGGGAGCAAACAGG
RNAcentral lists this ribosomal RNA (253 nucleotides) under uncultured bacterium. Its description in RNAcentral is "partial 16S ribosomal RNA". It matches the Rfam family "Bacterial small subunit ribosomal RNA", at positions 524 to 776 of the family's 1533-position model. The record is from RNAcentral.